Odocoileus virginianus texanus is the source of this 3070-nucleotide non-coding RNA. The record is from RefSeq and is a predicted model, not a curated record. Lineage: Eukaryota; Metazoa; Chordata; Mammalia; Artiodactyla; Cervidae.
GCGGCUACCUCCCUUGUAAUUGGAGAAACUGCAAAACAGCCUAUCACUGUAGGUGAAUUUUUUUUUAAUGUGUAACAGUGUUUCCAAUACUAUGUUAUAUGACUACUAGUUUGUGCCAUAAAAUUUCCAUAAUGAUUCAUUCUUAGUGUAUAGGCUGGUUAAGUCUUUCUAUGGAUUAUAGGAGACUACCAUAAAGCAAUAUUACUGCUUCAUUACUGAUACAUGAAUUAUCAUACCUGUAAAUAAAUGUAUUCAUUUUUACUGUCUACUGUUAAUACAUGUAAUGUCUACAGUAGUAUACAAAACACAAAAGACAAUAUUGAUGUAGGUACUGACAGAUGAUUUGUCUUGUAAACUUAUGGUGUUGACAAAUACAGUAGUAGAUGUAUAUAUUUUAUUUUCUUAACAUUUCUAUAGCUUUAUUUUAGGAAUACAGUAUAUAGUAUAUAUAACAUACAAAAUGUCUUGAUUGUUUUAUUAUCAGCAAGGUUUUUUGGUCAAUACAAGGCUAUUAGUAGUUUUGGAGGAGUCAGAAGUUUUAUGUGAAUUUGACUGCAUGGGGGUGCUGCUGCCCUGGCCAGUGUUUUUCAGGUCUGUUAAGUUCAUCUGGUCUAACGUCAUUUAAGGCUGAUGUUUCCUAUUUUCUGUCUAGAUGAUUUACCCAUUCACAAAGAUGGAUAUUAAAAUUCCCUACUGUUAUUGUAUUACUAUUUCUUACUUUAGGUCUGUUAAUAUUUGAUUUAUAUAUUUAGGUGCUUCUAUGUUGGGUAUAUAAAUAUUUACAUACAUUGUAUCUUACUGGGUUGAUCCUUUAAUUAUUACAUAGUAACACCCUUGUCUGUCUUACCACAGCCUCUGUGUUCAAGGUCUGUUUUGUCUGAUACAAGUAUAGCUACUCCAGCUUCUUUUUGUUUCCAUUUGCAUACGUAUCUAUUUUCAUCCCUUCACUUUGAGAUGUGUCUUUACAUCUGAAGUCUCUUGUAGGCAGCAUAUAUUUAGCCACUCUGCAUCUUUCGAUUGGAGAGCUUAGUUCCUUUACAUUAAAAGUAAUUGAUAGGUAUGUAAUUAUUGCUAUUUUAAUUUUUUUUCUAUUUGGUAGUUAUUCUCCUCAUGAUUUUUAUAUAGUGGUAUGCUUAGAUUUAUCUUUUGUAUAUCUACUCUAGAUUUUUGCUUUGUGGUUACCAUUAGGAAUAAAGGUGGUUGUUUUUUUUUUAACUAAUAACUGCAAUAUGAAUCUAUUCUGUAUCUCUGGGGAAAGAAGCCCAUAGGGAUUAGAUUCUAAAACACUCCUACUGAAGUUUAAAUUGUCAAAAAGUAACAGUAAAAAAAUUUUUUUUACAUCAGUCCAGCAACCACCAAUGAUUUUAUUUAAUAUUCAGGGUGGCUCGAACAGAAACAGUCUUGAGAUCCAACUAGCAUUUCUAAAGUGAAGAAAACAAGAGUUCUGAAACAAACCAAUUAGGCCUCCAACCCACAAUAGUCAUGCACCUAGGAUGUGCAAGUCAUUGGAUUUGCAAACUUCUAAAAUAGCUGUAUGUGCUGAAAUGAAGGGAAUCUUUUAUUGAGCCCAUCUUGUCACCGCUGACACUCAGGGCUCAUACUAAGCAGUUAUGCACAGACUUACAGGUUAAAAUACAGAAACAACUCCAUAUUGAUAAAUGGCUGCUGCUUAGUCCCCUGAACUCCUCACCCCAACUGUUCUUAUCCCUUCCUCAGGGUGUCCUACAAUUACUCUUGAUCCUCUCAGUUCUGCACUAUGGCCAGCAUUUGACCCAAUUGGUCAAAGCUCAUGCCAUGUUAUCUGGCGGAAUACUGCAAGGUGGUACUUUUAGUAUACACACUUCACAGAUGUAGAAGUUAAGUCAAGAGAGGCUGUCAGUGACUCCUCUAAGGGCACUCAAUUAUUAAGGAACAAAGACAAAUGCAAAGUCAGGUCAGACUUAAAAACCCAUGCUUUACCCACUUUUCACUCUUCUGAAUACCUCCUUAAAAGGAGGUUAUGAAUUUGGUCAUCAGCAGACCAAAGGCAUAAAGAGAUGAAAUAGGAUCAAUAUGAAUGACAUAUAUCAGCCAUACUCAUUCUUUAGAUCAGGUAGUUUUAGAAGCUUUAAGUUUGCCAUAGUUUUAGAAUCUAAGUUUAAAUCAUAUCCUAGAAAUAAAUCAUUCUCUCUCAUAUAAAAAGUAUUUAAACCAAAUAUACCAUAUAUUAAGAACAGGACAGUGCUGGUCAUGCACAUCUACUCUUUAGCUUAGGUAUCUGGCUAUGGGAACAGCCCAAGUUCUUCAGAUGAAAAUGGACCAUAUAGCAGGCUUUUAAAAAAUUCAAGAGCACUUGCAGUCAGGAUUACUCACUUGUGAUCAUGGCACUGGAGCAGCAUUCAUGGGUAAUUUCAUUAGACCUGUAAGACUUUCUCAAGUUUUUUACUUAGUAAUCAGUUUUUCCAGAUUUCUUCUGAGACCAUCUGGUACCACUGCAGGGAGAGGAAGCAGAAUCUACCAGAAACCUUCAUGAAAGUUGACUGAGGAUGAGAAAGGUGAACUGAUCCCUGCAGUCACCCUUCACUGCUUAAGGUUACAGUCAGAGGUGUACAUUUAUUCAGGGUCCAUGAUCCACUCUAUACAAACUUCUAUGAAGAACUUCAGUUCACAAACAGUUCUCAAUCAUAUCCUGUGUAAAAAAGAAAACAACAAAAACACUCAAAAGCUCUCAAACUCAAGUGUGCAUCUGGAAGCGAUUCAAAGACGACAUGCCGAUUUUGGAGGAAAGUCAUAGAACUUCUCUCAAAAGCACUGUAUGCUACAGAGAAACUGUCCAUGAAAGGAAGAGUCCCAUCAAUGUGAUACUGCCUCAGCAUCACCACCGUGAUCAAUCAACAGCAAGGCAAGACCCUCCACCAGCAAAAAGGCUGGCUGAAGUUUCAGAUGAUGUUUAUUUAGCAGUUUUUAGCAAGCAAGUAUUUUUAAUUAAGGUCUCCAUUCUUGGAAUUCUUGACUAAACUGACUUCAAAUUAAUGAAACUUCAAGAAGAGAAAACGCAACUUCUCUCCAUAUAGCUGAAUCUGCUAUAUUC